GCGGGAAUAACUCAGCGGUAGAGUGACAGCUUCCCAAGCUGUAAGUCGCGGGUUCGAAUCCCGUUUCCCGCUCUA
Molecule: transfer RNA, 75 nt
Filed under: Deltaproteobacteria bacterium
Lineage: Bacteria; Pseudomonadati; Myxococcota; Myxococcia
Description: tRNA-Gly
Rfam family: tRNA
About the family: Transfer RNA (tRNA) molecules are approximately 80 nucleotides in length. Their secondary structure includes four short double-helical elements and three loops (D, anti-codon, and T loops). Further hydrogen bonds mediate the characteristic L-shaped molecular structure. tRNAs have two regions of fundamental functional importance: the anti-codon, which is responsible for specific mRNA codon recognition, and the 3' end, to which the tRNAs corresponding amino acid is attached (by aminoacyl-tRNA synthetases). tRNAs cope with the degeneracy of the genetic code in two manners: having more than one tRNA (with a specific anti-codon) for a particular amino acid; and 'wobble' base-pairing, i.e. permitting non-standard base-pairing at the 3rd anti-codon position.
Source: RNAcentral